Ribosomal RNA from Leptopilina boulardi, 120 nucleotides. NCBI's taxonomy places the organism in Eukaryota, Metazoa, Arthropoda, Insecta, Hymenoptera, Figitidae. The record is from RefSeq and is a predicted model, not a curated record.
GCUAACGCCCAUUUCACUGUGUAGAGCACUAGUUCUCGUCUGAUCACUAAAGUUAAGCGCAGUUGAGCGCGGUUAGUACUUAGAUGGGUGACCGCUUGGGAAUACCGCGUGGUGUUGGCU